This 68-nucleotide transfer RNA is filed under the name Leiodidae sp. BMNH 1274323. RNAcentral describes it as "tRNA-Arg". The record is from RNAcentral. Lineage: Eukaryota; Metazoa; Arthropoda; Insecta; Coleoptera; Leiodidae.
UAAUAAGAAAUAAUAAAUUAUAAUUAGUUUCGACCUAAAAAUUAGAAGACCUCCCCCUUCCUUAUUUU